Bradysia coprophila is the source of this 150-nucleotide long non-coding RNA. NCBI's taxonomy places the organism in Eukaryota, Metazoa, Arthropoda, Insecta, Diptera, Sciaridae. The record is from RefSeq and is a predicted model, not a curated record.
AGACGUCCAACUGCGUUACGGGGUGUCCGACUUAAAACAAAUCGGACAUUUUUCUCAUAAAAGUCGGACAAAAUCGGACAUUUUUUAAGAAAAAGUUGGACAAAAUCGGACUUUUUUUCAAAAAAAAUGUGGCAAAAAUCGGAUUCUUUU